AGUUCACAGUACAGAGCCAGUUGUCCAGGAGAAUGGGGACGAAGCUGGGGAGGGGAGAGAGGCUAAAGAUUCUGACCCCGGCUCUCCAAGGAGGUGUGACAUCAUCAUCAUCUCUGGCCGGAAAGAAAAGUGUGAGGCUGCCAAGGAAGCCCUGGAGGUAUGUGUCCGUGUGCCCCCCUCCACCCCCCACCAAGGCCCAGUCAGCAGGCACCUGGGGGAGACGCAUGGCCUGGAUGGGAUGGACGGUUGCCCAAGUGGCAGCGGCAGUGGAGCUAGCCCUCUUGCUCCUACCGUGUGCGCACGGGCUGUCUGGCUGUGCUCCUCGGCUGGACACAGAGUUUGGGGAGGCCACUUCCCUUCACCAAGGCUCUGGGUUCUAUAGCCCCUUUCUGGGACAGCUGCAUGGGAUCCGGCCUCUCAGGCCCACGGUGGGUGUAGGGGGCUGUGGAAGGGUCUCAGUUGCAGGGGGUUGAAUGUGACCUCCAGUUGCAGUGUCUCCCCCCGCGUGAGUGGGGUCAUCAGGCCUAGCUCACCUUGUGUGCAGUCAGUGUUGAGUGCCACGUGCAUGUUGGAUGCUGCUCUCAGUGCUGCAGUGCCACAGCACACAAAAAUAGUUCUCACGUUGCAGUGGAGAGACAAGCAAUCAACGUAGAUAUAUACUGUGGCAAGUGAUGGCGUUGGUUCCUGUCACCGUUGAAGUAGAGGUGCCCUUUGACCUUCACCGUUACGUCAUUGGGCAGAAAGGAAGUGGGAUCCGCAAGAUGAUGGAUGAGUUUGAGGUGAACAUACAUGUCCCGGCACCUGAGCUGCAGUCUGACGUCAUCGCCAUCACGGGCCUCGCUGCAAAUUU
Molecule: small RNA, 850 nt
Filed under: Pongo abelii (Sumatran orangutan)
Lineage: Eukaryota; Metazoa; Chordata; Mammalia; Primates; Hominidae
Description: retained intron
Source: RNAcentral